GAUGAACGCUGGCGGCGUGCUUAACACAUGCAAGUCGAACGGUUAAGGCGGACCUUCCUCUGCUUGCUCAGUGGCGAACGGGUGUGUUGCACGUGAGCAUUCUGCCCCUUGCUCUGUGAUAUGCGCUGGAAACGGCUUCUAAUACUUGAUACGAGCUGCGGAGGCAUCUUCAGCAGCUGAACAGAACUUCGGUCAUGGAUGGGCUGUCGGCGUAUCAGCUUGUUGGUGAGGUAUCGGCUCACCAAGGCAUCGACGGGUAGCCGGCCUGAGAGGUGGACCGGCGACACGGGGACUAAGGGACGGAGCAGAGUCGAACGGGAGGCAGCAGGGGGGAGUAUUGCACAACGGGCGAAAGCCUGAGGAAGAAACGCCGGGUGAGGGAAGACGGCCUAGGGGGUGUAAACCGCAUUAAGCAGGGAAGAAGCGAAAGUGACGGUACCAGCAGAAAAAGCGCCGGCUAACUACGUG
Molecule: ribosomal RNA, 468 nt
Filed under: uncultured bacterium
Lineage: Bacteria
Description: partial 16S ribosomal RNA
Rfam family: Bacterial small subunit ribosomal RNA
Source: RNAcentral